Molecule: ribosomal RNA, 406 nt
Filed under: uncultured bacterium
Lineage: Bacteria
Description: partial 16S ribosomal RNA
Rfam family: Bacterial small subunit ribosomal RNA
Source: RNAcentral
AUUGAACGCUGGCGGCAGGCCUAACACAUGCAAGUCGAGCGAGCGGCGGACGGGUGAGUAAUGUCUGGGAAACUGCCUGAUGGAGGGGGAUAACUACUGUAAACGGUAACUAAUACCGCAUACCAUCAGAUGUGCCCAGAUGGGAUUAGCUAGUAGGUGUGGUAACGGCUCACCUAGGCGACGAUCCCUAACUGGUCUGAGAGGAUGACAAGCCACACUGGAACUUAGAAACGGUCCAGACGAUGACGGGAGGCAGCAGUGGGGAAUAUUGCACAAUGGGCGAAAGCCUUAUGCAGCCAGGCCGCGUGUGUGAAGAAGGCCUUCGGGUUGUAAAGAACUUUCAGCGGGGAGGCGGUACCCGAAGAAGAAGCACCGGCUAACUCCGCGCCAGCAGCCGCGGUAAUCC